AACGAACGCUGGCGGCAUGCCUAACACAUGCAAGUCGAACGAGACCUUCGGUCUAGUGGCGCACGGGUGCGUAACGCGUGGGAAUCUGCCCUUGGGUUCGGAAUAACAGUUAGAAAUGACUGCUAAUACCGGAUAAUGUCUUCGGACCAAAGAUUUAUCGCCCAGGGAUGAGCCCGCGUAGGAUUAGCUAGUUGGUGAGGUAAAGGCUCACCAAGGCGACGAUCCUUAGCUGGUCUGAGAGGAUGAUCAGCCACACUGGGACUGAGACACGGCCCAGACUCCUACGGGAGGCAGCAGUGGGGAAUAUUGGACAAUGGGCGAAAGCCUGAUCCAGCAAUGCCGCGUGAGUGAUGAAGGCCUUAGGGUUGUAAAGCUCUUUUACCCGGGAUGAUAAUGACAGUACCGGGAGAAUAAGCCCCGGCUAACUCCGUGCCAGCAGCCGCGGUAAU
This 449-nucleotide ribosomal RNA is filed under the name uncultured bacterium. RNAcentral's name for it is "bacterial SSU rRNA". It matches the Rfam family "Bacterial small subunit ribosomal RNA", at positions 29 to 524 of the family's 1533-position model. The record is from RNAcentral.